UGGGGAAUAUUGGACAAUGGGCGCAAGCCUGAUCCAGCCAUACCGCGUGGGUGAAGAAGGCCUUCGGGUUGUAAAGCCCUUUUGUUGGGAAAGAAAUCCAGCCGGCUAAUACCUGGUUGGGAUGACGGUACCCAAAGAAUAAGCACCGGCUAACUUCGUGCCAGCAGCCGCGGUAAUACGAAGGGUGCAAGCGUUACUCGGAAUUACUGGGCGUAAAGCGUGCGUAGGUGGUUGUUUAAGUCUGUUGUGAAAGCCCUGGGCUCAACCUGGGAACUGCAGUGGAAACUGGACAACUAGAGUGUGGUAGAGGGUAGCGGAAUUCCCGGUGUAGCAGUGAAAUGCGUAGAGAUCGGGAGGAACAUCCAUGGCGAAGGCAGCUACCUGGACCAACACUGACACUGAGGCACGAAAGCGUGGGGAGCAAACAG
RNAcentral lists this ribosomal RNA (428 nucleotides) under uncultured bacterium. Its description in RNAcentral is "bacterial SSU rRNA". It matches the Rfam family "Bacterial small subunit ribosomal RNA", at positions 355 to 775 of the family's 1533-position model. The record is from RNAcentral.